Myotis davidii is the source of this 119-nucleotide non-coding RNA. The record is from Rfam. NCBI's taxonomy places the organism in Eukaryota, Metazoa, Chordata, Mammalia, Chiroptera, Vespertilionidae.
AACCUCCAGUUCCCUUUCCAUCGGAUCUGAACACCAAUCUUGUUGGUCGUAGAGGAAGAAAAGUAAUAGUAAAGCUGGCCUCACAGUGCUUACAGUCUGUGGGCUAGUUUCAAACAAGG